GCCGUCCCUUCCUUUCUCCCCUCCUCCAUUUUUGGUUAGGUCUGACCUUUCUUUAGCCAUAGACAGAGGUCGUCCAUUCCAUUUCGGUGCAAAUUUUGGCUGGUUUCGCAACCAGACGAACCCUAAGUCUACAAUUUAUCAACGUCGUUGUCCCCUUUCGACCUCUAUGCACACGCAAACCAUUUUCGGAUAAAAAUACAGCAAGUUUUCUACAUCAUCAACAUUUGUUCCUCCAUUUUUGGCAAAGCUUUUCUGGUUUUUAUUUGUUUGCCUUAAGCCUGAACGGUAAUCUCUGAUUUUCAAAUUUAUUUUGAGGUUUCCCUCCUUUGCCAACGAAAAGAUUCGAAUCUUUUCAAAAAUAUGCGGAUUUGAAAUUAAAUUGAACGAAUUUCACUUUGUGAAGAGGUCGGAUAUCACUCUAGGAACCCUAAUCUGGACCUAUAAAAAAGACGAGUUUUGGAACCAAAAGGGGGCUUUCUUUUGGCCGCCUCUAUUCCUCCAAAAAUAUUAAUCUUCCUCAGUUCCAAUACCCUUUAGUUUUUUUACUCGAAAUCCUAAGUUAUACUAAUCACUCUUUCGCCUCUACCAUCGCUUCGAAUCUGAGCGUAUUCAAGCUCGGAGUUGAUAGUGUUCGAGAGUAGAUUUAAUACCCCGCACCCCUGUUCGCUGCACCCGAAAAAGAGUCAUAAAUCGGGACUCUCUCCAAAACGGAGUUUCAAAAUGAAACCGGCGCUAUUACUAUACCGUGCAUGGAGUCAACACAUUUCAUAUUCUUUAACCUCAACCCACAACAAGAAAACAAUCGAAUUCGCUUGAAGCCCGCCUAUGCCAAUUUUCGUUUUCUCUUUUGGCUCUCUGCUCUGUUUGUUACUAUUUUAUUUGUGUGUGUGUUUUGAAUGAUUGCUUUUGAUGCUUAUUUGAAUUGCUUGGUACCUGGUAUAAUGGGUUUAAGAUCAGCAUAUGGCUAACUUUUAAUCUUUAAUUAAAUCAAUUGAGUAUGCUAAAGAA
Long non-coding RNA from Lycium barbarum (goji berry), 1008 nucleotides. RefSeq lists it as uncharacterized. The record is from RefSeq and is a predicted model, not a curated record. NCBI's taxonomy places the organism in Eukaryota, Viridiplantae, Streptophyta, Magnoliopsida, Solanales, Solanaceae. The transcript has 2 exons.